GCGCCGACUAGUGCGGACGUGGAAAGAUCGGCUCCCGCUUUCGUAAAUAUUUUCGGUCUGCUUUUAGUGUCACCUACCACGGAAAUGCACGCCAUUCGACACGGUUUCUUCUGAGGACUUCCUUUGCCUGAAAUCAGCACUGUUGUGAACAUGGGUGUUUCUCCAGCUCGCAUAGUGCUUGCCAACGCUGUGAAGGGCUCGAGGGACAUUGAAUUCGCUCUCAAACAUAACGUCACCCUCAUGGCAUUUGAUUCAGUGGAAGAGCUCUCUAAAGUGGAAGGCAAAAACACGAGGCUGCUGCUCAGAAUCCUUGCUGCCGAGGAGGGAUUAAUCCAUAAGUUCAACAAUAAAUUUGGGUGCUCAAUCUAUGAUGCGAAGCGAAUUCUGAAAGAAGCCCGGGCGAGAGAGUGCAAUGUCGUCGGUG
This is a non-coding RNA of Dermacentor albipictus, 424 nucleotides long. Lineage: Eukaryota; Metazoa; Arthropoda; Arachnida; Ixodida; Ixodidae. The record is from RefSeq and is a predicted model, not a curated record.